This 451-nucleotide ribosomal RNA is filed under the name Maribacter sp. Asnod2B03. RNAcentral's name for it is "partial 16S ribosomal RNA". It matches the Rfam family "Bacterial small subunit ribosomal RNA", at positions 394 to 873 of the family's 1533-position model. Lineage: Bacteria; Pseudomonadati; Bacteroidota; Flavobacteriia; Flavobacteriales; Flavobacteriaceae. The record is from RNAcentral.
AUGCCGCGUGCAGGAAGAUGCCCUAUGGGUAGUAAACUGCUUUUAUANNNGGAAGAAAAAAGAGUACGUGUACUCUACUGACGGUACCGUAAGAAUAAGGACCGGCUAACUCCGUGCCAGCAGCCGCGGUAAUACGGAGGGUCCGAGCGUUAUCCGGAAUUAUUGGGUUUAAAGGGUCCGUAGGCGGGCCGAUAAGUCAGGGGUGAAAGUUUGCAGCUCAACUGUAAAAUUGCCUUUGAUACUGUUGGUCUUGAGUUAUAGUGAAGUUGCCGGAAUAUGUAGUGUAGCGGUGAAAUGCAUAGAUAUUACAUAGAACACCGAUUGCGAAGGCAGGUGACUAACUAUAUACUGACGCUGAUGGACGAAAGCGUGGGGAGCGAACAGGAUUAGAUACCCUGGUAGUCCANNNNNGUCNNNNNNUANNNAGUCACCUGCCUUCGCAAUCGGUGUU